UGGGGUUACAGGUGUGAGCCACCACUCCUGGCCACUUGAGAGUUUUUAUUUAUGUUGGAGUAUUUACUUCUGUACCUCUCCUUAUUCCAUUAGUUCUGUGUUUUCCUAGUUAAUCUUUUACUUCUGAUUUAUCAGUUUGGGGAUGUUCUUCAGCAGUCCCCUAUUGCUCAUGCAACAUGAGUGCUUUCAGUUUUCCCCUUUUUCUUUCCUCCUCCUGUGUUUAGUUGUAUUAUUUCUACUUUAUUUCUACUUUGUCACAAUAUUAGUGACAUUUGUAUGCUGGUCUUCUGCCCUGGACAGGGAAUAUACACCUGUCAGAUUGAAGGAAUGUCAUAUUAUAUGCUGCUGCCAAAUAGACUCUAACAUACUUUAAUCAUCUUUUAAAUGAUACACUCCAAGUUCACAGUUAACUCCUGACUUUUUAUUUCUGUCAUAUUUAGUAAACAUAUCAGCAUUGACAGCCAUCCCACUGCAGUAUCACUUCAUGUAUUUCUGUAGACCAAAGGGUCCUGAGAAACUUCUGGAGUUGUCGUGAGAGCCAGUCUCACUAAAGUCAAGUCAGACAUCCACCUGUGCUGUUGUCUACUAGGAGCUGAAUUCGGGAGACACAUUGUUAUGAGCAUCUGUGUGGAGUGAGGAAUGUGUAGUUAUUGGUGGUGGACUUGUCAGGAUCAAGGAUGAGCCCAAGCAUCUGGGAUGUGAGGUGUGGCUGAAUGAGGGGCCACCUGUUCUGUUGCAACAGGAUGAAUAACACAUUCAGAGCAGGCUGAACUGGUGAACUCCUCGAUGAUCUCACAAUACUACUAUCAUGUAUCUUUCAUUUUUCACAUCACAGUGUAUUUUCAUAAAAUCUUUGCUGGUUGACUACAACUUUAGCAUUUCCCAUUCAAGAGACAAUUGCUGUGCACUUGGAUAGCUUGGUAGAAAGAAAAUUGGCUAUUUUCAGCGUAAACAAUUCAAGGAGGAAACUAAUUAAUAAAUGAAAUGACAUAGGUGUGAGAUCAAGCAAUGCUUAUAAUUGUAGCAAGGACUAGAGUGCUGAGGUACCUGUAUGAUAAGUAAUUAUAAUGGAACCAAUGUUGUGCUUUAUUUUUUAUUAAUUUGGGGCAUUCUGUGAUCUGAUUUGUUUUCUGUAUAAUAUUUUGCUGCAGGUUAAAAGCUGAAGCAACUUCAGGGAAACCUCAGGGAAAAAAGAAGGGCUGGAAUGAGAUCCUCCACUUCAGAGAAUAGGGAGAAAAAAGGACACGUGAAAUACUACUUAUCCAUCUCCUGGGUCUUAGCGGUA
Sapajus apella (tufted capuchin) is the source of this 1285-nucleotide long non-coding RNA. RefSeq lists it as uncharacterized. The record is from RefSeq and is a predicted model, not a curated record. NCBI's taxonomy places the organism in Eukaryota, Metazoa, Chordata, Mammalia, Primates, Cebidae. The transcript is spliced from 3 exons.